RNAcentral lists this ribosomal RNA (671 nucleotides) under uncultured bacterium. RNAcentral describes it as "bacterial SSU rRNA". It matches the Rfam family "Bacterial small subunit ribosomal RNA", at positions 831 to 1510 of the family's 1533-position model. The record is from RNAcentral.
GAUACACAGCAAGCGGCUUAGCGAAAGCAUUAAGUGAACCACCUGGGGAGUACGAUCGCAAGGUUGAAACUCAAAGGAAUUGACGGGGGCCCGCACAAGCGGAGGAACAUGUGGUUUAAUUCGAUGAUACGCGAGGAACCUUACCUGGGCUUAAAUGUAGAGUGCAUGCGGUGGAAACACCCUUUCCGGCAACGGACUCUCUGCAAGGUGCUGCAUGGUUGUCGUCAGCUCGUGCCGUGAGGUGUCGGGUUAAGUCCCAUAACGAGCGCAACCCUUACCGUUAGUUGCCAACAGGUUAAGCUGGGGACUCUAGCGGGACUGCCACCGUAAGGUGAGAGGAAGGUGGGGAUGACGUCAAAUCAGCACGGCCCUUAUGUCCAGGGCUACACACGUGUUACAAUGGCCGGUACAGAGGGCAGCUACUUCGCGAGAAGAUGCUAAUCYUCAAAGCCGGUCUCAGUUCGGAUUGGAGUCUGCAACCCGACUCCAUGAAGUUGGAUUCGCUAGUAAUCGUAUAUCAGCAAUGAUACGGUGAAUACGUUCCCGGGCCUUGUACACACCGCCCGUCAAACCAUGGGAGCUGGGGGUGCCUGAAGUCUGUGACCGCAAGGAGYGGCCUAGGGUAAAACCAGUGACUGGGGUUAAGUCGUAACAAGGUAACCAAGGGCGAA